UACAGAGGGUGCGAGCGUUAAUCGGAGUUACUGGGCGUAAAGGGCGCGUAGGUGGUUGUACAAGUAAGGUGUGAAAUCCCUGGGCUUAACCUAGGAAUUGCACUUUAAACUGUAUAGCUAGAGUGCGGUAGAGGGUAGUGGAAUUUCCGGUGUAGCGGUGAAAUGCGUAGAGAUCGGAAGGAACACCAAUGGCGAAGGCAGCUUGCUGGGACGGUACUGACGCUGAGGCGCGAAAGCGUGGGGAGCAAACAGG
RNAcentral lists this ribosomal RNA (253 nucleotides) under uncultured bacterium. RNAcentral describes it as "partial 16S ribosomal RNA". It matches the Rfam family "Bacterial small subunit ribosomal RNA", at positions 524 to 776 of the family's 1533-position model. The record is from RNAcentral.